CAGCCGCCACGGUAAUACAGAGGGUGCGAGCGUUAAUCGGAUUUACUGGGCGUAAAGCGUGCGUAGGCGGCUUCUUAAGUCGGAUGUGAAAUCCCUGAGCUUAACUUAGGAAUUGCAUUCGAUACUGGGAAGCUAGAGUAUGGGAGAGGAUGGUAGAAUUCCAGGUGUAGCGGUGAAAUGCGUAGAGAUCUGGAGGAAUACCGAUGGCGAAGGCAGCCAUCUGGCCUAAUACUGACGCUGAGGUACGAAAGCAUGGGGAGCAAACAGGAUUAGAUACCCGUGUAGUCCCUGUCUCUUAUAC
Molecule: ribosomal RNA, 301 nt
Filed under: uncultured bacterium
Lineage: Bacteria
Description: partial 16S ribosomal RNA
Rfam family: Bacterial small subunit ribosomal RNA
Source: RNAcentral